GCGGGACCAAAACCCGUUGCCUUACCACUUGGCCACGCCCCA
RNAcentral lists this transfer RNA (42 nucleotides) under Olea europaea subsp. cuspidata. RNAcentral describes it as "partial transfer RNA-Gln (UUG)". The record is from RNAcentral. Lineage: Eukaryota; Viridiplantae; Streptophyta; Magnoliopsida; Lamiales; Oleaceae. RNAcentral also lists the same sequence under 2 other names.